GACGAACGCUGGCGGCGUGCUUAACACAUGCAAGUCGAACGGAAAGGCCCUGCUUUUGUGGGGUGCUCGAUUGGCGAACGGGUGAGUAACACGCGAGUAACCUGCCCUUGACUUUGGGAUAACUUCAGGAAACUGGGGCUAAUAUCGGAUAGGAGCUCCUGCUGCAUGGUGGGGGUUGGAAAGUGUCGGCGGUUGGGGAUGGACUCGCGGCUUAUCAGCUUGUUGGUGGGGUAGUGGCUUACCAAGGCUUUGACGGGUAGCCGGCCUGAGAGGGUUACCGGCCACAUUGGGACUGCGGUACGGCCCAGACUCCUACGGGAGGCAGCAGUGGGGAAUAUUGCACAAUGGGCGGAAGCCUGAUGCAGCAACGCCGCGUGCGGGAUGAUGGCCUUCGGGUUGUAAACCGCUUUCGCCUGUGACGAAGCGUGAGUGACGGUAAUGGGUAAAGAAGCAACGGCUAACUACGUG
RNAcentral lists this ribosomal RNA (468 nucleotides) under uncultured bacterium. Its description in RNAcentral is "partial 16S ribosomal RNA". It matches the Rfam family "Bacterial small subunit ribosomal RNA", at positions 28 to 507 of the family's 1533-position model. The record is from RNAcentral.